AGAGUUGUAGUUCAGCGAUAGAGCAUUUGCCUAGAAUGCACAGGGUCCUAGGUUCAAUCCUCAACCCUA
RNAcentral lists this transfer RNA (69 nucleotides) under Marmota monax (woodchuck). Its description in RNAcentral is "tRNA.Ser". Lineage: Eukaryota; Metazoa; Chordata; Mammalia; Rodentia; Sciuridae. The record is from RNAcentral.